This 253-nucleotide ribosomal RNA is filed under the name uncultured prokaryote. RNAcentral's name for it is "partial 16S ribosomal RNA". It matches the Rfam family "Bacterial small subunit ribosomal RNA", at positions 524 to 776 of the family's 1533-position model. The record is from RNAcentral.
UACGUAGGCAGCGAGCGUUGUUCGGAGUUACUGGGCGUAAAGCGUGCGUAGGCGGUGUUCCAAGUCUGUUGUGAAAUCUCCCGGCUUAACCGGGAGGGUGCGGCGGAAACUGGAAUGCUGGAGUGCCGGAGAGGUAAGCGGAAUUCCUGGUGUAGCGGUGAAAUGCGUAGAUAUCAGGAGGAACACCUGCGGUGUAGACGGCUUACUGGACGGUAACUGACGCUGAGGCACGAAAGCGUGGGUAGCAAACAGG